GCCCGGGUGGUGAAAUAGGUAGACACAAGGGAUUUAAAAUCCCUCGCUGGCAACAGCGUGCCGGUUCAAGUCCGGCUCCGGGCA
Molecule: transfer RNA, 84 nt
Filed under: Pseudidiomarina salinarum
Lineage: Bacteria; Pseudomonadati; Pseudomonadota; Gammaproteobacteria; Alteromonadales; Idiomarinaceae
Rfam family: tRNA
About the family: Transfer RNA (tRNA) molecules are approximately 80 nucleotides in length. Their secondary structure includes four short double-helical elements and three loops (D, anti-codon, and T loops).
Source: Rfam by way of RNAcentral